RNAcentral lists this ribosomal RNA (449 nucleotides) under Physa vernalis. RNAcentral's name for it is "partial 16S ribosomal RNA". Lineage: Eukaryota; Metazoa; Mollusca; Gastropoda; Physidae. The record is from RNAcentral.
AUCAAAAACAUAGUCGGUAGAAUAUAUUAUCGGUUGUUUCUGCCCAGUGUAAUAUCAACGGCCGCAGUACCUUGUCUGUGCUAAGGUAGCAUAAUAAAUUGGCUAUUAAUUGUAGUCUGGAAUGAAAGGGAGAAUGAAUAGAGACUAUAAUAAAUUAUAUUACUUGAAUUUAUUAAUUAGGUGAAAAUACCUAAAUAUAAGAAAAAAGACGAGAAGACCCUUAGAGUUUUUAAGAAAGGGAAAAUAAUUUUCUUAAUUUUUUGUUGGGGCGACAAGAAAACAAAAUAAACUUUUCUUAAUAAAUUUUAUAUGACGACAUUGUUAUGAAAAAAUAAACUACCUUAGGGAUAGCAGCAUAAUGAUAAAUAUUAGUUUGUGACCUCGAUGUUGGACUAGGAACUUUAAUACUAACAGUGUUAUAAGAGUGUUCUGUUCGAACAAUUAACUCC